RNAcentral lists this long non-coding RNA (263 nucleotides) under Panax ginseng (ginseng). RNAcentral's name for it is "long non-coding RNA (PGIN_LNC016244)". The record is from RNAcentral. Lineage: Eukaryota; Viridiplantae; Streptophyta; Magnoliopsida; Apiales; Araliaceae.
UGCAAAGUAGCAAAUUAAAAUUUUCAGCAAUCUAUUGUGUAGCCUUAUGUAAACUCAUUAAUUGAGGAAGGAUAAAGAUAUACCUUUGAAGCGUGUCAACCUUAGAUGAAGACUUCAAAUUUCAAUCUUUGCUCCUUCGCGAUUUCUCCAAUCCUCGAAUCACAUGUUCGUCACAAAGUGUAUGCAAUGCCCAAGAGGUAUCCACAAAGAGAAAUAGAUUGAAGAUGUGAUUUAGAUUCUACAAGAUCAGAUCUUGGGUGGCU